This 75-nucleotide transfer RNA is filed under the name Sphaerodactylus townsendi. RNAcentral describes it as "tRNA-Ala". The stretch from base 4 to 66 matches the Rfam family "tRNA". Rfam says of the family: Transfer RNA (tRNA) molecules are approximately 80 nucleotides in length. Their secondary structure includes four short double-helical elements and three loops (D, anti-codon, and T loops). Lineage: Eukaryota; Metazoa; Chordata; Lepidosauria; Squamata; Sphaerodactylidae. The record is from RNAcentral.
GAAGAGGUCUUGGCUCAGUGGUAGAGCCUCUGCUUUGCAUGCAGAAGGUCCCAGGUUCAGUCCUUGCCAUCUUCA